GAUGAAGAACGUAGCGAAAUGCGAUAAGUAAUGUGAAUUGCAGAAUCCAGUGAAUCAUCGAAUCUUUGAACGCACAUUGCGCCCGCCAGCAUUCUGGCGGGCAUGCCUGUUCGAGCGUCAUUUCAACCCUCGACCUCCCCUUGGGGAGGUCGGCGUUGGGGACCGGCAGCACACCGCCGGCCCUGAAAUGGAGUGGCGGCCCGUCUGCGGCGACCUCUGCGUAGUAAUACAGCUCGCACCGGAACCCCGACGCGGCCACGCCGUAAAACACCCAACUUCUGAACGUUGACCUCGAAUCAGGUAGGACUACCCGCUGAACUUAAGCAUAUCAAUAAGCGGAGAA
This 343-nucleotide unclassified non-coding RNA is filed under the name soil metagenome. Its description in RNAcentral is "partial contains 5.8S ribosomal RNA, internal transcribed spacer 2, and large subunit ribosomal RNA". The stretch from base 1 to 120 matches the Rfam family "5.8S ribosomal RNA", at positions 35 to 154 of the family's 154-position model. The record is from RNAcentral.